Molecule: ribosomal RNA, 472 nt
Filed under: uncultured bacterium
Lineage: Bacteria
Description: bacterial SSU rRNA
Rfam family: Bacterial small subunit ribosomal RNA
Source: RNAcentral
UGGGGAAUUUUGGACAAUGGGGGCAACCCUGAUCCAGCAAUGCCGCGUGAGUGAAGAAGGCCUUCGGGUUGUAAAGCUCUUUUGUCAGGGAAGAAACGGUAGUAGCGAAUAACUAUUACUAAUGACGGUACCUGAAGAAUAAGCACCGGCUAACUACGUGCCAGCAGCCGCGGUAAUACGUAGGGUGCAAGCGUUAAUCGGAAUUACUGGGCGUAAAGCGUGCGCAGGCGGUUGUGUAAGUCAGAUGUGAAAUCCCCGGGCUCAACCUGGGAAUUGCAUUUGAGACUGCACGGCUAGAGUGUGUCAGAGGGGGGUAGAAUUCCACGUGUAGCAGUGAAAUGCGUAGAUAUGUGGAGGAAUACCGAUGGCGAAGGCAGCCCCCUGGGCCAACACUGACGCUCAGGCACGAAAGCGUGGGGAGCAAACAGGAUUAGAUACCCUCGUAGUCCCUGAGCGGGCUGGCAAGGCGCAU